RNAcentral lists this long non-coding RNA (868 nucleotides) under Homo sapiens (human). RNAcentral describes it as "HSALNT0405144". The record is from RNAcentral. Lineage: Eukaryota; Metazoa; Chordata; Mammalia; Primates; Hominidae.
ACCGUGGACGUGCUUGGUGGCAGGAGAUGCUUUGCUUCGAUGAAAUGCUCCGCCUCCAGGACAGGAGAAGACCUUGGUUUUGACCCUGAGGAAACAGCAAAACUUGGACCUUGAAGACAGGAGAUUGCCAUGACUAAUUUGGGGGCAGGCGGUGUGACUUUGAGUAUGUUACCUAACCUUGCUGAGCCACGUGGUACUGGUGAGGAUUCGGUGAGAUGACAACUGGUCACAGCAUGGCAGGCCUCCUGGCAUGUCCCUGACUCUCCUUCAACAGGAGCUUUCGAUAUAUUAGGGAGCAGGUAAGCCUCACCUUGAACAAAUCCAACUGAUGACACUUGUUUUUAUGCAGACAUAGCGGUUCCCCUGACCUUUGUGAUAGUGUGGGAUGACCAUGUGUGAUGGAGAAGGGCCCACGGCAGGUUUCUCUGGGUAUAGUUAGGCGGGACCAGAUGUACAUCCUGCUCUGCCCCCAGAAGCUGCAACUCGAGAGGGGCUUGGUGGCUCUGGGCCUCAUCUUGCCCAUCUGCAAAAUGGGAGCAAUGGCACUUCCCUCUCCAGGCUGUUGUGCCCCUUGGUGAGAUCACUUCGGGAUGUAGAGCCUUGUGAGCGCAGGCCUCCCAGAAGUCCAUCUUCCUCACCAACAAAUGACCCGGUUCCGGAGAAAGAUCUCGCCUUUGGUUGCAAGGGUCGGAUGGCAGUGGCAAUGAACCGGCUCGAUGUUUCACUGUCUUCACUGUCUGCCUCCCUCCCUGGACUGUGAGUCCUCCAAGGGCUGUUAGUGUGUUUGUGCACUCACAGUUGAACCCCAGAACCCAGGCAGGCCUGGCCCGUGGUGGGUAGGUGCCCAUUGUUUGUUUGUUGAAUGAGU